RNAcentral lists this long non-coding RNA (1015 nucleotides) under Sus scrofa (pig). RNAcentral's name for it is "lncRNA (ENSSSCG00065022149.1)". Lineage: Eukaryota; Metazoa; Chordata; Mammalia; Artiodactyla; Suidae. The record is from RNAcentral.
GUCGAACUUGCAACCUCGUGGUUAUUAGUUGGAUUUGUUUCUGUUGCGCCACCAUGGGAACUCCUAUUUUAUUUUUAAUUUAACUUUUGUUGAGGUAACAUUGGCUUAUAACAUUAUAUAAGUUUGAUGCGGACAACAUUAUACUUCUUACACUACAAAAAAAAAAAAAAAAAAAAAAAGAAGUGUUUACUGAGAGCCUGCUCUAAGCCAGCCACUGUUUGAGAGGCUAGAGGCUCAGAAAUGAGUCCCUGAAAGAGUUUGUAAAAAUAACCACAACUUCCUCUCCUUGCGUUUAGGACCAAGUGAUGUUGCAGGUCCUUCCAACUAAGAAACAGAAUCUAUUUUCUACCCUUUGAAUCUGGGUCGUUCAAUGGUAUUGUCACAAAUGUGACUCAUUCAGAGCCCCGUCUUUCAUGCAGCCUCGGAGGGUCAUUCGUGGUACAGCAGGAGUCGGGAGGCAGGGGGUUGGCCCAGGCUCAUCGACAACUAGCUGAUUUAAAGAGUAUAAUGCAUCCUGUUCUGUGCCAACGCGUCGAUUCAGUCAGUGCACUGCAUGGGAUCUGGCACAGGGUAUGGCUUUUAUUUUACAGAUUAGAAAAAAACAAACCCUAAGAGGUAAGAAGCUUGGUCAGGAUCAUGCAGGUAGUUUGUACAAGGUGAGGGCCAGGAUCUAUGUUUCUUGAUUCCCGCAGUGGAGGUCCCUCCCUAAUACUAUAGAGCAUUUAUCUGUAAGAGCCACACACCCUCAUCACAGCAGCCCAGACAGUCCGUCCUGCCUUAUGCCAAAGGCCAGGGAAACCCAAGCAGGGAGACAAACAGCAUGUUCUUAAUACCUCAGAACCACGUUCCCUGAUGGCGGGCACACUCACUCUGAGUGUGCUUGUGCACAUGCAGUUUAUCACAAGUUUCCAGAUGAUUGGUUGUACAAACCGAGCAUGUAUGUGGCAGUUGGGCAUGGAUUUUCCAGGAUUCUCAGGACCUCUGGGCUGUGGCGUUUCUUAGUGGAGAAUUAAAG